RNAcentral lists this long non-coding RNA (976 nucleotides) under Sinocyclocheilus grahami. RNAcentral's name for it is "lncRNA (ENSSGRG00000045907.1)". Lineage: Eukaryota; Metazoa; Chordata; Actinopteri; Cypriniformes; Cyprinidae. The record is from RNAcentral.
AAUGACUUUGUAAUUUAUAUGUCUGAAUUUCGUUAGACUCUGAUUGUAUUAGUAUAAGGUGAGGUAGGUGAUACUGCCCUAAUUCCAUUUUGUAAUAUAGCUCCACUGGAGUUUGACUCUUGGGGUGACGGUGUUUUCUGUCCCUCCAGCUACAGAUCAAAGUGAACGGACAGAGAGGAGGACUGGGAAUUUGUAUUGCAGGAGGGAAAGGCUCCUUGCCGUACAAAGAGAAUGAUGAGGGUAUUUUCAUCUCCAGAGUGUCUAAAGGCGGACCGGCGGAGAAGGCCGGGGUUCAUGUUGGGGACAGAGUGUUGGAGGUCAAUGGCCAAGACAUGCAGGAGGUCAGCCACCAUGAGGCUGUCGGCAUCCUGAGGAAUGCUGGGAGCUGCAUAAAAAUGAAAGUGCUGCGGGAGAGAUGCGUGCCCGUGGAGCCGUGGCUGCAUGAGAGGUCUGAUACCAUGGAGACAGCAGACCCCCAGGUCAGCCAAGGGUGGGAUGUUACCAUGAGCAAUAACAGAUCGAGUGGCCCACAGUCCUCCACUGAUCCCAUGCUGGACUGCAGCCCAAUAACUAACAGGAUGGAAGCUACCGUCUGCAAUGGAAAUGGACUGAAUGAUCCAGUGCAGGACUUACGGCUGACAAAAGACAUGGAGACCUUCAAAAACAAUGCCCUACAGGUUGUGAAAAAUACUAUGACGAUACCUCGGAUUAUUCUGACUCACCCCUCUACCUCAGAUGAGGACGUGGAGCCCCUGACGCAGGGCACAGAUGAUGGAGAUUUCCAUUCUGACUUCAGCGACUCGGACAGUCACAUUUACUCUGACUGCUUGAACAGUGCUUUCUAUCCUCUGUGAAAGAUAGAGAAGCACACAGGCUCCAGAUGUGCCUGUGUCCUUCGGUUAAGUGAAAUUGUCCUAGCUGUGGUCCACAUUCGCUGGAGCAGAAAACGAGUGACGCGGGAUCGAUACUUCAGGCA